Molecule: transfer RNA, 73 nt
Filed under: Cricetulus griseus (Chinese hamster)
Lineage: Eukaryota; Metazoa; Chordata; Mammalia; Rodentia; Cricetidae
Description: tRNA-Lys (CTT) (tRNA-Lys-CTT-18-1)
Rfam family: tRNA
About the family: Transfer RNA (tRNA) molecules are approximately 80 nucleotides in length. Their secondary structure includes four short double-helical elements and three loops (D, anti-codon, and T loops).
Source: Rfam by way of RNAcentral
CCCUGGCUAGCUCAGUCGGUAGAGCGUGAGACUCUUAAUCUCAGGGUCAUGGGUUCAAGCCCCAUGUUGGGCA